Molecule: long non-coding RNA, 325 nt
Filed under: Cucumis sativus (cucumber)
Lineage: Eukaryota; Viridiplantae; Streptophyta; Magnoliopsida; Cucurbitales; Cucurbitaceae
Description: long non-coding RNA (CSAT_LNC001468)
Source: RNAcentral
AGAUUGUUGCACUUGGUAUUGUGUUGAAUGUGAUCGGAAGUCCCAUCGGAUCAUUGCCCUCACCGUCUUUGCCGACGACAAACUCUCUGGCCCAAUCCCACCCUUUGUGGGUGACCUCCCGUUCCUCGAAAACCUCAUGUUCCACAAGCUCCCAAAUCUCAUUGGCCCCAUCCCACCUACCAUUGCAAAACUCAACAACCUCAAAUACCUUGACCUAAGCUGGAACGGUCUCUCUGGUCCUGUCCCCAGCUUCCUCGGCUCCCUUUCCAAUCUCGAUGUUCUCGACCUCUCCUUCAACCGUUUCACUGGCUCCAUCCCUAGCUCU